Molecule: long non-coding RNA, 501 nt
Filed under: Cavia porcellus (domestic guinea pig)
Lineage: Eukaryota; Metazoa; Chordata; Mammalia; Rodentia; Caviidae
Description: lncRNA (ENSCPOG00000038243.1)
Source: RNAcentral
GCACUUUAUGAAUUAUUCAGGAAGUGGUUGCAAAAUCACCCACAAGGAUAUAUAGUUCCACUGUUGGCUUCUCUCGAAAGGAAGAAUGUCUGGAGUCUCUGCACACUGACUUAUCCACAUAGAUUCUGUAAGCAGAGUCUAUCAGCUGACUUGCUCAUCUAUUUGGACCAUGAAGUGGAUGCAAUCACUUCUUGCUUGUUUUCUUUUUCAUCUGUCUCUUUCUCAGUCUCCAAAAGAGCAAUAUGUUCUGCUGGUCCCCAGUGUUCUACAAGAAAGCUCUUUGACUACAGCUUGUGCCCAGCUUUCCAAUCUGACUGAAUCUGUUGUUUUGACUGUCUUCCUCAACUACGGAGAGAUCGUAACCAAAAUAUUUGAAGAGAAUGUUACAGGAGAAAAUUUCUUCAAAUGCACCAGUUUUGAGGUAAAUAUUUUAUUCUGCUUACUGUUAAAAGGCAUAUUGCAGGUACAUGAAAGCCAACCACUUAACUGACUGUUAACAAA